AUUGAACGCUGGCGGCAGGCCUAACACAUGAAAGUCGAGCGGUAGCACAGAGAGCUUGCUCUCGGGUGACGAGCGGCGGACGGGUGAGUAAUGUCUGGGAAACUGCCUGAUGGAGGGGGAUAACUACUGGAAACGGUAGCUAAUACCGCAUAACGUCGCAAGACCAAAGUGGGGGACCUUCGGGCCUCAUGCCAUCAGAUGUGCCCAGAUGGGAUUAGCUAGUAGGUGGGGUAAUGGCUCACCUAGGCGACGAUCCCUAGCUGGUCUGAGAGGAUGACCAGCCACACUGGAACUGAGACACGGUCCAGACUCCUACGGGAGGCAGCAGUGGGGAAUAUUGCACAAUGGGCGCAAGCCUGAUGCAGCCAUGCCGCGUGUGUGAAGAAGGCCUUCGGGUUGUAAAGCACUUUCAGCGGGGAGGAAGGCGAUAAGGUUAAUAACCUCAUCGAUUGACGUUACCCGCAGAAGAAGCACCGGCUAACUCCGUGCCAGCAGCCGCGGUAAUACGGAGGGUGCAAGCGUUAAUCGGAAUUACUGGGCGUAAAGCGCACGCAGGCGGUCUGUCAAGUCGGAUGUGAAAUCCCCGGGCUCAACCUGGGAACUGCAUUCGAAACUGGCAGGCUAGAGUCUUGUAGAGGGGGGUAGAAUUCCAGGUGUAGCGGUGAAAUGCGUAGAGAUCUGGAGGAAUACCGGUGGCGAAGGCGGCCCCCUGGACAAAGACUGACGCUCAGGUGCGAAAGCGUGGGGAGCAAACAGGAUUAGAUACCCUGGUAGUCCACGCCGUAAACGAUGUCGAUUUGGAGGUUGUGCCCUUGAGGCGUGGCUUCCGGAGCUAACGCGUUAAAUCGACCGCCUGGGGAGUACGGCCGCAAGGUUAAAACUCAAAUGAAUUGACGGGGGCCCGCACAAGCGGUGGAGCAUGUGGUUUAAUUCGAUGCAACGCGAAGAACCUUACCUGGUCUUGACAUCCACAGAACUUUCCAGAGAUGGAUUGGUGCCUUCGGGAACUGUGAGACAGGUGCUGCAUGGCUGUCGUCAGCUCGUGUUGUGAAAUGUUGGGUUAAGUCCCGCAACGAGCGCAACCCUUAUCCUUUGUUGCCAGCGGUCCGGCCGGGAACUCAAAGGAGACUGCCAGUGAUAAACUGGAGGAAGGUGGGGAUGACGUCAAGUCAUCAUGGCCCUUACGACCAGGGCUACACACGUGCUACAAUGGCAUAUACAAAGAGAAGCGACCUCGCGAGAGCAAGCGGACCUCAUAAAGUAUGUCGUAGUCCGGAUUGGAGUCUGCAACUCGACUCCAUGAAGUCGGAAUCGCUAGUAAUCGUAGAUCAGAAUGCUACGGUGAAUACGUUCCCGGGCCU
This 1361-nucleotide ribosomal RNA is filed under the name uncultured bacterium. Its description in RNAcentral is "bacterial SSU rRNA". It matches the Rfam family "Bacterial small subunit ribosomal RNA", at positions 28 to 1381 of the family's 1533-position model. The record is from RNAcentral.